RNAcentral lists this ribosomal RNA (466 nucleotides) under uncultured bacterium. RNAcentral describes it as "bacterial SSU rRNA". It matches the Rfam family "Bacterial small subunit ribosomal RNA", at positions 329 to 792 of the family's 1533-position model. The record is from RNAcentral.
UCCCAGACUCCUACGGGAGGCAGCAGUGAGGAAUAUUGGUCAAUGGGCGGGAGCCUGAACCAGCCAAGCCGCGUGAGGGAAGAAGGUACAGCGUAUCGUAAACCUCUUUUGUCAGGGAACAAAGGCGGGGACUAGUCCCCGGAUGAGGGUACCUGAAGAAAAAGCAUCGGCUAACUCCGUGCCAGCAGCCGCGGUAAUACGGAGGAUGCGAGCGUUAUCCGGAUUUAUUGGGUUUAAAGGGAGCGUAGGCCGGCUUUUAAGUCAGCUGUGAAAGUCCGCGGCUCAACCGUGGAAUUGCAGUUGAAACUGGAGGCCUUGAGUGCACACAGGGAUGUCGGAAUUCAUGGUGUAGCGGUGAAAUGCUUAGAUAUCAUGAAGAACUCCGAUCGCGAAGGCAAGUGUCCGGGGUGCAACUGACGCUGAGGCUCGAAAGUGCGGGUAUCAAACAGGAUUAGAUACCCCUGUA